Molecule: long non-coding RNA, 153 nt
Organism: Sphaeramia orbicularis (orbiculate cardinalfish)
Lineage: Eukaryota; Metazoa; Chordata; Actinopteri; Kurtiformes; Apogonidae
Exons: 3
Source: RefSeq, a predicted model, not a curated record
UCCUCGUAUGUUGCCGUGACAACAGUCUCCCUCCUCUUGCCAUAACGCAUCCCAGCAGCACUUGCUAAAAAGUAAACACAUGCAAUAAAACAGCUGUUAUAAUGUCGUAAACUGACAAAACUCACUCAUAUUCACUUUUUACAGCUGCAAAAG